GGGCCCGUAGCUCAGUGGUCAGAGCGACGGACUCAUAAUCCGUUGGCCGUAGGUUCAAGUCCUACCGGGCCCA
RNAcentral lists this transfer RNA (73 nucleotides) under Fidelibacterota bacterium. Its description in RNAcentral is "tRNA-Ile". It matches the Rfam family "tRNA". From Rfam's summary of the family: Transfer RNA (tRNA) molecules are approximately 80 nucleotides in length. Their secondary structure includes four short double-helical elements and three loops (D, anti-codon, and T loops). The record is from RNAcentral. Lineage: Bacteria; Pseudomonadati; Fidelibacterota.